GUGAGCGUAUUAACAGGUGUGACGCAGGAAGGUAGCCCAAGCCAGGCGAUGGUUGUCCUGGUGCAAGUGCGUAGGCCGAGAGAUAGGCAAAUCCGUCUCUCAUACAGGCUGAGACACGAUGCGGAUAAAAAGUGGGUGAUCCUAUGCUGCCAAGAAAAGCAUCGACGCGAGGUUCAAGCCGCCCGUACCCCAAACCGACUCAGGUGGUCAGGUAGAGAAUACCAAGGAGAUCGAGAGAAUCGUGGUUAAGGAACUCGGCAAAAUGCCCCCGUAACUUCGGGAGAAGGGGGGCCACCCGCUUAUACGGACUUGCUCCGGAAAGGGUGUGGUGGCCGCAGAGACUAGUGGGUAGCGACUGUUUACUAAAAACACAGGUCCGUGCUAAGACGCAAGUCGACGUAUACGGACUGACGCCUGCCCGGUGCUGGAAGGUUAAGAGGACCGGUUAGCCGCAAGGCGAAGCUGAGAAUUUAAGCCCCAGUAAACGGCGGUGGUAACUAUAACCAUCCUAAGGUAGCGAAAUUCCUUGUCGGGUAAGUUCCGACCUGCACGAAUGGCGUAACGACUUCCCAACUGUCUCAACCGCGAACUCGGCGAAAUUGCACUACGAGUAAAGAUGCUCGUUACGCGCAGCAGGACGGAAAGACCCCGUGACCUUUACUACAGCUUGGUAUUGGUGUUCGGUGUGGCUUGUGUAGGAUAGGUGGGAGACUGUGAAGCCAUGACGCCAGUUAUGGUGGAGUCAUUGUUGAAAUACCACUCUGGUCACUCUGGAUAUCUAACUUCGAACCGUAAUCCGGUUCAGGGACAGUGCCUGGUGGGUAGUUUAACUGGGGCGGUUGCCUCCCAAAAAGUAACGGAGGCGCCCAAAGGUUCCCUCAACCUGGUUGGCAAUCAGGUGGCGAGUGUAAGUGCACAAGGGAGCUUGACUGUGAGACUGACAGGUCGAGCAGGGACGAAAGUCGGGACUAGUGAUCCGGCAGUGGCUUGUGGAAGCGCUGUCGCUCAACGGAUAAAAGGUACCUCGGGGAUAACAGGCUGAUCUUGCCCAAGAGUCCAUAUCGACGGCAUGGUUUGGCACCUCGAUGUCGGCUCGUCGCAUCCUGGGGCUGGAGUAGGUCCCAAGGGUUGGGCUGUUCGCCCAUUAAAGCGGUACGCGAGCUGGGUUUAGAACGUCGUGAGACAGUUCGGUCCCUAUCCGCUGCGCGCGUAGGAAGUUUGAGAGGAUCUGACCCUAGUACGAGAGGACCGGGUUGGACGAACCUCUGGUGUGCCAGUUGUUCCGCCAGGAGCACCGCUGGUUAGCUACGUUCGGGAUGGAUAACCGCUGAAAGCAUCUAAGCGGGAAGCCGGCCUCAAGAUGAGACUUCCAUCACCUUCGGGUGGAGAGGCUCCCAGCCAGACGACUGGGUUGAUAGGCCAGAUGUGGAAGCGUGGCAACACGUGCAGCUGACUGGUACUAAUAA
RNAcentral lists this ribosomal RNA (1466 nucleotides) under Achromobacter sp. Its description in RNAcentral is "bacterial LSU rRNA". It matches the Rfam family "Bacterial large subunit ribosomal RNA", at positions 1449 to 2907 of the family's 2925-position model. The record is from RNAcentral. Lineage: Bacteria; Pseudomonadati; Pseudomonadota; Betaproteobacteria; Burkholderiales; Alcaligenaceae.